CCUACGGGAGGCAGCAGUGAGGAAUAUUGGUCAAUGGGCGUAAGCCUGAACCAGCCAAGCCGCGUGAGGGAUGAAGGUUCUAUGGAUCGUAAACUUCUUUUAUGAGGGAAUGAAGUGUGGGACGUGUCCUAUUUUGUCUGUACCUUAUGAAUUAGGAUCGGCUAACUCCGUGCCAGCAGCCGCGGUAAUACGGAGGAUCCGAGCGUUAUCCGGAUUUAUUGGGUUUAAAGGGUGCGUAGGCGGCCUUGUAAGUCAGCGGUGAAAGUCUGUGGCUCAACCAUAGAAUUGCCGUUGAAACUGGGGGGUUUGAGGAUGUUGGAGGCAGGCGGAAUGCGUGGUGUAGCGGUGAAAUGCUUAGAUAUAACGAAGAACCCCGAUUGCGAAGGCAGCCUGCCAAGCCAUGACUGACGCUGAUGCACGAAAGCGUGGGGAUCAAACAGGAUUAGAUACCCCUGUAGUC
Molecule: ribosomal RNA, 460 nt
Filed under: uncultured bacterium
Lineage: Bacteria
Description: partial 16S ribosomal RNA
Rfam family: Bacterial small subunit ribosomal RNA
Source: RNAcentral